Molecule: ribosomal RNA, 565 nt
Filed under: uncultured cyanobacterium
Lineage: Bacteria; Bacillati; Cyanobacteriota
Description: bacterial SSU rRNA
Rfam family: Bacterial small subunit ribosomal RNA
Source: RNAcentral
CCUACGGGAGGCAGCAGUGGGGAAUUUUCCGCAAUGGGCGAGAGCCUGACGGAGCAAUACCGCGUGAGGGAUGACUGCCUAUGGGUUGUAAACCUCUUUUCUCAGGGAGGAAAUCAAUGACGUUACCUGAGGAAUAAGCAUCGGCUAACUCCGUGCCAGCAGCCGCGGUAAGACGGAGGAUGCAAGUGUUAUCCGGAAUCACUGGGCGUAAAGCGUCUGUAGGUGGCUUAACAAGUCAACUGUUAAAUCUUGAAGCUCAACUUCGAAAUCGCAGUCGAAACUGUUAGGCUAGAGUAUAGUAGGGGUAAAGGGAAUUUCCAGUGGAGCGGUGAAAUGCGUAGAGAUUGGGAAGAACACCGAUGGCGAAGGCACUUUACUGGGCUAUUACUGACACUCAGAGACGAAAGCUAGGGUAGCAAAUGGGAUUAGAUACCCCAGUAGUCCUAGCCGUAAACAAUGGAUACUAGAUGUUGGGCAGAUCGACCUGUUCAGUAUCAAAGCUAACGCGUUAAGUAUCCCGCCUGGGAAGUAUGCGCGCAAGCGUGAAACUCAAAGGAAUUGACGG